UCAAACUUGGUCAUUUAGAGGAAGUAAAAGUCGUAACAAGGUCUCCGUUGGUGAACCAGCGGAGGGAUCAUUACCGAGUUGCAAAACUCCAAACCCAUGUGAACAUACCUCGUGUUGCCUCGGCGGCGAGCGAAGUGCCCGGUAGGUGCCUACCCGGCACCUACCCUGGAGCUACCCUGUAGCUACCUACCCGGUAGCUGCGAGGUACCUACCCUGUAGGACUGGCGCAUCCGCCGAAGGACCACUCAAACUCUUAUUUCUGUGUGGCACGUCUGAGUAAUUAUAUUUAAUAAGUCAAAACUUUCAACAACGGAUCUCUUGGUUCUGGCAUCGAUGAAGAACGCAGC
RNAcentral lists this unclassified non-coding RNA (347 nucleotides) under uncultured fungus. RNAcentral's name for it is "partial contains small subunit ribosomal RNA, internal transcribed spacer 1, and 5.8S ribosomal RNA". The stretch from base 1 to 73 matches the Rfam family "Eukaryotic small subunit ribosomal RNA", at positions 1759 to 1831 of the family's 1831-position model. Lineage: Eukaryota; Fungi. The record is from RNAcentral.